ACGGGUGAGUAACACGUGGAUGAUCUAACUUCUAGUGGGGAAUAACCCCGGGAAACUGGGGAUAAUACCGCAUAAGCUCGAGAGAGGAAAGCAGCAAUGCGCUGGAAGAGGAGUCCGCGGCCGAUUAGCUAGUUGGCAGGGUAAAAGCCUACCAAGGCAAAGAUCGGUAGCCGGCCUGAGAGGGCACACGGCCACACUGGCACUGAAACACGGGCCAGACUCCUACGGGAGGCAGCAGUGGGGAAUCUUGCACAAUGGGGGAAACCCUGAUGCAGCGACGCCGCGUGAGCGAUGAAGCCCUUCGGGGUGUAAAGCUCUUUCGGCAGGGAAGAUAAUGACGGUACCUGCAGAAGCAGCUGCGGCUAACUACGUGCCAGCAGCCGCGGUAAUACGUAGGCAGCGAGCGUUGUUCGGAGUUACUGGGCGUAAAGGGUGCGUAGGCGGUUGUUUAAGUUUGGUGUGAAAUCUCCCGGCUCAACUGGGAGGGUGCGCCGAAUACUGAAUGACUAGAGUGCGGGAGAGGAUAGUGGAAUUCCUGGUGUAGCGGUGAAAUGCGUAGA
RNAcentral lists this ribosomal RNA (560 nucleotides) under uncultured bacterium gp3. Its description in RNAcentral is "bacterial SSU rRNA". It matches the Rfam family "Bacterial small subunit ribosomal RNA", at positions 102 to 694 of the family's 1533-position model. The record is from RNAcentral.